RNAcentral lists this ribosomal RNA (639 nucleotides) under uncultured bacterium. RNAcentral's name for it is "bacterial SSU rRNA". It matches the Rfam family "Bacterial small subunit ribosomal RNA", at positions 232 to 885 of the family's 1533-position model. The record is from RNAcentral.
CGCGGCCUAUCAGCUUGUUGGUGGGGUAACGGCCCACCAAGGCAUCGACGGGUAGCUGGUCUGAGAGGACGAUCAGCCACACUGGGACUGAGACACGGCCCAGACUCCUACGGGAGGCAGCAGUGGGGAACAUUGCGCAAUGGGCGAAAGCCUGACGCAGCAACGCCGCGUGGGGGAUGACGGCCUUCGGGUUGUAAACCCCUUUCAGCAGGGACGAAAAUGACGGUACCUGCAGAAGAAGCCCCGGCCAACUACGUGCCAGCAGCCGCGGUAACACGUAGGGGGCGAGCGUUGUCCGGAUUUAUUGGGCGUAAAGAGCUCGUAGGCGGUUGCGUAAGUCGGAUGUGAAAACUCAGGGCUCAACCCGGAGACGCCAUCCGAUACUGCGCUGACUAGAGUCCGGUAGGGGAGCAUGGAAUUCCUGGUGUAGCGGUGAAAUGCGCAGAUAUCAGGAGGAACACCAGUGGCGAAGGCGGUGCUCCGGGCCGGUACUGACGCUGAGGAGCGAAAGCGUGGGUAGCGAACAGGAUUAGAUACCCUGGUAGUCCACGCCGUAAACGUUGGGCACUAGGUGUGGGGCCUACUUAACGGGUUCCGUGCCGUAGCUAACGCAUUAAGUGCCCCGCCUGGGGAGUACGG